GAGACUGAGUGAAGGACUUACACAGACAGAGUGAAGGACUUAAAGAAUGAGCAGAAAGACAUGGGCAGAAAAGGCGAGAGGGAUACUACGUGGAAAGAAAAUGCACGAUAAAGUGGGAUUAGAAAACAGAGGCAUACAAUUAUGAUAGACACAGAGGGAAAAUACAGUGAUGAGCAGAAGAAUAAAAACACUCAAACUGUUGCCUCAAGUUACGAGACUGUUUUCUUCCUG
Salarias fasciatus (jewelled blenny) is the source of this 231-nucleotide long non-coding RNA. RefSeq lists it as uncharacterized. NCBI's taxonomy places the organism in Eukaryota, Metazoa, Chordata, Actinopteri, Blenniiformes, Blenniidae. The record is from RefSeq and is a predicted model, not a curated record. The transcript is spliced from 3 exons.